GGCUACAGCCAUGCCACCCUGAACACGCCCAAUCUCGUCUGAUCUCAAAAGCUAAGCAGAGUCAGGCCUGUUUAGUACUUGGAUGGGAGAUCACUUAGGAAGACCAGGUGCUGUAGACA
Molecule: ribosomal RNA, 119 nt
Filed under: Pteropus alecto (black flying fox)
Lineage: Eukaryota; Metazoa; Chordata; Mammalia; Chiroptera; Pteropodidae
Source: RNAcentral